CUUUUGUUGCGAAAAGGGCUUGGAGAAUUGAGCAAGUCCCUAUACUAGGCUUUAAAAGCCCCUCUCUUUUAUAUACUUGCCUAUAUAAUGAUAAUACAAUAAUUUCUAUUCUAAGUAGGUUCCUAUUUUGAGAGUUAUUAAAGUAUUGUAUAUAAGUAUAGAAUUCGACAGAUAAGCCCGUUCUCUAGGGUGGAAACACUGUAUUAGAAUACACCAAAACUCAAUGAACUAAAAGAUUUUACUAGUUGAAGGAAAAGAAACCAACCGGGAUUGCGUUAGUAGUACAGAGCGAAAGCGCAUCAGCUUAAUGAAAUAUUUUUUGUUUACGGUCGAACUUAAGUGAAAUCCAGACCAGAGAAAGUUAUAGUCUUGUAGGUUGUAAACAAAAAAAGUGCUGUAAUUAUUUAUAAGCAUGCUACUAUUUAUUAUAAUAUCUUUGAAAAAUACAUAAUAAGGAUUAAUAAGGAUUAAUAAGGAUUAAUAAGGAUUAAUAAGGAUUAAUAAGGAUUAAUAAGGAUUAAUAAGGAUUAAUAAGGAUUAAUAAGGUAAUAAAUAGGCUUUAAGAAUUAAAUUAGUGGUAUAACGCUGCUAGUUAUAAACGGAAACCACUCCGUUGGCUAAAUAUUCUAUGUAGAUCGAUAGUGAAUCAGUACUGUAAAGGAAUUUGGAAACAAGAAUGCCAUUGCUUCUCUGAAUACAAGUCCCGAAACAGGUUGCUUAUAAUGACUUUCAGUUUGGCUGUUAUAGUGUUGAAUAGAAAGGUUCCUUUUGAAUCAUGAGCUGAUGACUUUGUGUUAGUUUAAGACAUAGAUUAACAGUUCUCUUUUUAUCUUCAGGGUCAAAAGUGGGUAAUCUAAGUAGCUUAAUUUAUUAAAAGUAAGCUUAUUAUGAAAGUAUUCAUAGAAAACUAACACAAAACGCGAAACGAAGUGAGCUUAAGUAGACCAGGGGGAAGGUUACCGGAAGGUAGUUGGACGCCCGAAGUGGUAUGCGUUGCAACGCAUUCAUAUGAGUUUAUUUAAGUGGCGAAAUACCAAUCGAACUUCGAAAUAUCUCGUUUUUUGCGAAACCUUUUUAGGAAGGGGGCCUGUAAAAUAAAUGCUAACUAGGUAGAGCGCUGUAAAACUGAUGGGAAGGAAACUUUUACUGAGGUGUUGCAAACCACAAAUUAGGAGCAUUUUAUUAGGUACUCAGUCAGUGCGGGACAAGCUGCAUUUGACAAGAAGGAAACAGCCUAGACUAUCAAUUAAGGCCCGAAAAUAGCACUAAGUGAGAAAGUAAUUGACUUCACAAAAAUUAGUAGGACGUUUGAUUAGUAGCAUCUACCGUUUAAAGAAAGCGUAAUAGCUCACUACUAUAGUUUAGUUGUUGCAAAAAUUUAGCCGGACUAAGCGCUAUGCCGAAAUUAUAGCUAACAGGAUCUUACUUAAAAGCCGGUUAGAGUAGCAAAACGAACCAUGUUGACAAAGUUAUGUCGGUAAGACUUAAUGAAAAUAUUGGUUGUGAAUAUAUCAGCUAGAGUAACAUAUAAAUUGAGACUUUCAAUAAAUAGCGUUAAUAUAAAAGACAUAAACAAGAUUGAUAUAAAGCUCUAUUAACUUGAAAGAAUAUUAUCUCAAUGAUCGAAAAUCCUGGGUUUUCUACACAACUAUUAAAGAUGUAGUUAAAAAGACGGUCCCUAAGUAAUAUUUAGGUUACGAUGGGUACCUGCUAUGCCCAAUAAAAUCUAGUAUGUAGAUCUGUUGCAGGAAAAAAUAGCAGGCAAUUUAUACAAAAAUUGUAAUACAGUAAUACCGUACUAAAACUGACUCUGGUGGAUUUGUAGAUUUUACUUAGAUUUGGUUAUAAUCGUUCGUAAGGAACUCGGCAAAUUGCGCUGGUACUUUCGAAAACAGCGGUCUAAAAAAACCUUUUAGAUCUCAGAUAAUAGAACUGGGUGACAGUUUACUAAAAACUUAGCGUCCUGCCAAUUUGAAACAAGACGUAUAGGAUGUGACGUUUGCUAACGGCCACUAAUUUAAGUAAUUUGUUGUAACAGAUAAAUCAACAAGAUGUGGUGACGAGCGGCCGUAACUAUAACGGUCAUAAAGUAGCGAAAUUCCUAGGCAUUUAAUUGGUGUCCUGCAUGAAUAACGUAACAACCUGGUUGCUGUCUCGCGAGCGAAAACCGUGAAAUAAGAAUAUCGGUCAAAAUACCGAUUAGGCUAUCUUAGACGAUAAGACCCUGUGAAGCUUUACUGUAACCUAACAUUGCGAUCGGUUUUUUAUCUUACAGUUAGGCGGGAGGCAAUGCCAACAAUGGAAAACCGCUAGAUAAUAAAUUGAUCGCUUUUAUAUAAGAAUACUUUUUUAAUCUAUAAGAUAUUUAUGUAAGGCGCUUCAUAUAAGGAAUUUUAUGCAAAUAGAGUAUACUUUAUGUAAACCCUCAUAUAAAACACUUUAAUUAACAAAGCUCGAAGACAGUGUUAGGUGGGCAGUUUACUUGGGGCGAGGUCUGGCUAAAAAGUAACGCCAGAGAGCAAAAGGUAUGCUCAGUAUUGUCGGAAACAAUAUGUAGAGCGUAAUAGUAUAAGCAUGCCUGAUUAUAAGACUGACAAGUCGAAUAAAGACGAAAGUCUGCUAUAGUGACCCUCACACGCUAUGUGGAAAGGUGUGAGAUCAACGAAUCAAAGUUACUCCAGGGAUAACAGGGUAGUCCUGGCUUAUAGUUCUUAUAGACGCCAGGGUUCGCCACCUCGAUGUUGCCUCAGGUCAUCCUAGAGCUGCACAAGGUUCUAAGGGCGCAACUGUUCUUUGCAUAAUGACCUACGUGAGGUGAGUUUAAACCGCCGUAAGGCAGGUUUGGUUCUAUCUAGAUAGCCAUAAUAUUUAACCAAGCACUAGAAUUCCACUGUACGAAAGGACCCGGAAUUCCACGCCAAUGGUUUAGCAAUUGUUUUGAAAAAAGCACGGUUGCAACGCUAAGCGUGAAAUGUUAAUUGCUGAAAAACUAUCAAGCAAGAAACAAUUGUAAAGGUUAUAGAAAAUCGCAUUUGCGUAAAUAGGCGCGGGGUGUACGCUUUGCAAGAAGCUCAGCUACCGCGUACUAAUUUUUUUUUUUUUAUCAUAGCU
This 3111-nucleotide ribosomal RNA is filed under the name Ulva fasciata. RNAcentral's name for it is "16S ribosomal RNA". It matches the Rfam family "Bacterial large subunit ribosomal RNA". The record is from RNAcentral. Lineage: Eukaryota; Viridiplantae; Chlorophyta; Ulvophyceae; Ulvales; Ulvaceae.